UACGUAGGGCGCAAGCGUUGUCCGGAAUUAUUGGGCGUAAAGAGCUCGUAGGCGGCCUGUUGCGUCCGCUGUGAAAUCCCGGGGCUCAACCCCGGGCCUGCAGUGGAUACGGGCUGGCUAGAGGCAGGCAGGGGAGAACGGAAUUCCUGGUGUAGCGGUGAAAUGCGCAGAUAUCAGGAGGAACACCGGUGGCGAAGGCGGUUCUCUGGGCCUGUACUGACGCUGAGGAGCGAAAGCGUGGGGAGCGAACAGG
Molecule: ribosomal RNA, 253 nt
Filed under: uncultured bacterium
Lineage: Bacteria
Description: partial 16S ribosomal RNA
Rfam family: Bacterial small subunit ribosomal RNA
Source: RNAcentral